This 30-nucleotide non-coding RNA is filed under the name Mus musculus (house mouse). Lineage: Eukaryota; Metazoa; Chordata; Mammalia; Rodentia; Muridae. The record is from RNAcentral.
UACCCCUAUGCCUACUUUUUAUCUGUCAGC